ACGAACGCUGGCGGCGUGCCUAAUACAUGCCAGUUGAGCGCUGAAGGUUGGUACUUGUACCAACUGGAUGAGCAGCGAACGGGUGAGUAACGCGUGGGGAAUCUGCCUUUGAGCGGGGGACAACAUUUGGAAACGAAUGCUAAUACCGCAUAAAAACUUUAAACACAAGUUUUAAGUUUGAAAGAUGCAAUUGCAUCACUCAAAGAUGAUCCCGCGUUGUAUUAGCUAGUUGGUGAGGUAAAGGCUCACCAAGGCGAUGAUACAUAGCCGACCUGAGAGGGUGAUCGGCCACAUUGGGACUGAGACACGGCCCAAACUCCUACGGGAGGCAGCAGCAGGGAAUCUUCGGCAAUGGACGAAAGUCUGACCGAGCAACGCCGCGUGAGUGAAGAAGGUUUUCGGAUCGUAAAACUCUGUUGGUAGAGAAGAACGUUGGUGAGAGUGGAAAGCUCAUCAAGUGACGGUAACUACCCAGAAAGGGACGGCUAACUACGUG
RNAcentral lists this ribosomal RNA (496 nucleotides) under uncultured bacterium. RNAcentral describes it as "partial 16S ribosomal RNA". It matches the Rfam family "Bacterial small subunit ribosomal RNA", at positions 29 to 507 of the family's 1533-position model. The record is from RNAcentral.